GGGGAAUAUUGCACAAUGGGGGGAACCCUGAUGCAGCCAUGCCGCGUGAAUGAAGAAGGCCUUCGGGUUGUAAAGUUCUUUCGGUGGUGAGGAAGGUAUCAAAUUUAAUAGAUUUGGUAAUUGACGUUAGCCACAGAAGAAGCACCGGCUAACUCCGUGCCAGCAGCCGCGGUAAUACGGAGGGUGCGAGCGUUAAUCGGAAUAACUGGGCGUAAAGGGCACGCAGGCGGAUUGUUAAGUGAGAUGUGAAAGCCCCGGGCUUAACCUGGGAAUUGCAUUUCAGACUGGCAAUCUAGAGUAUUUUAGGGAGGGGUAGAAUUCCACGUGUAGCGGUGAAAUGCGUAGAGAUGUGGAGGAAUACCGAAGGCGAAGGCAGCCCCUUGGGAAUAUACUGACGCUCAUGUGCGAAAGCGUGGGGAGCAAACAG
This 427-nucleotide ribosomal RNA is filed under the name uncultured bacterium. RNAcentral's name for it is "bacterial SSU rRNA". It matches the Rfam family "Bacterial small subunit ribosomal RNA", at positions 356 to 775 of the family's 1533-position model. The record is from RNAcentral.